RNAcentral lists this ribosomal RNA (496 nucleotides) under uncultured bacterium. Its description in RNAcentral is "partial 16S ribosomal RNA". It matches the Rfam family "Bacterial small subunit ribosomal RNA", at positions 28 to 506 of the family's 1533-position model. The record is from RNAcentral.
GAUGAACGCUGGCGGCGUGCCUAAUACAUGCAAGUCGAGCGAACAGACGAGGAGCUUGCUCCUCUGACGUUAGCGGCGGACGGGUGAGUAACACGUGGAUAACCUACCUAUAAGACUGGGAUAACUUCGGGAAACCGGAGCUAAUACCGGAUAAUAUAUUGAACCGCAUGGUUCAAUAGUGAAAGACGGUUUUGCUGUCACUUAUAGAUGGAUCCGCGCCGCAUUAGCUAGUUGGUAAGGUAACGGCUUACCAAGGCAACGAUGCGUAGCCGACCUGAGAGGGUGAUCGGCCACACUGGAACUGAGACACGGGCCAGACUCCUACGGGAGGCAGCAGUAGGGAAUCUUCCGCAAUGGGCGAAAGCCUGACGGAGCAACGCCGCGUGAGUGAUGAAGGUCUUCGGAUCGUAAAACUCUGUUAUUAGGGAAGAACAAAUGUGUAAGUAACUAUGCACGUCUUGACGGUACCUAAGCAGAAAGCCACGGCUAACUACGU